RNAcentral lists this ribosomal RNA (506 nucleotides) under uncultured bacterium. Its description in RNAcentral is "partial 16S ribosomal RNA". It matches the Rfam family "Bacterial small subunit ribosomal RNA", at positions 29 to 523 of the family's 1533-position model. The record is from RNAcentral.
AUUGAACGCUGGCGGCAGGCCUAACACAUGCAAGUCGAGCGGCAGCGGAAAGUAGCUUGCUACUUUGCCGGCGAGCGGCGGACGGGUGAGUAAUGUCUGGGGAUCUGCCUGAUGGAGGGGGAUAACUACUGGAAACGGUAGCUAAUACCGCAUAACGUCGCAAGACCAAAGUGGGGGACCUUCGGGCCUCACGCCAUCGGAUGAACCCAGAUGGGAUUAGCUAGUAGGUGGGGUAAUGGCUCACCUAGGCGACGAUCCCUAGCUGGUCUGAGAGGAUGACCAGCCACACUGGGACAGAGACACGGCCCAGACUCCGACGGGAGGCAGCAGUGGGGAAUAUUGCACAAUGGGCGCAAGCCUGAUGCAGCCAUGCCGCGUGUGUGAAGAAGGCCUUCGGGUUGUAAAGCACUUUCAGCGAGGAGGAAGGGUGGUGUGUUAAUAGCACACGACAUUGACGUUACUCGCAGAAGAAGCACCGGCUAACUCCGUGCCAGCAGCAGCCGUAA